Molecule: ribosomal RNA, 497 nt
Filed under: uncultured bacterium
Lineage: Bacteria
Description: partial 16S ribosomal RNA
Rfam family: Bacterial small subunit ribosomal RNA
Source: RNAcentral
GAUGAACGCUGGCGGCGUGCCUAAUACAUGCAAGUCGAGCGAACAGACGCGGAGCUUGCUUCUCUCAUGUUAGCGGCGGACGUGUGAGUCACACGUGGAUAACCUACCUAUCAGUCUGGUAUCACUACGGAACACCGGCGCUUACCCCGUAUAAUAUUUUGCACCGCGGUGUUCAAAGGUAAGAUACGGUCUUGCUGGCACUUAUCGAGGGAUCCGCGCUGCAUUAGCUAGUUGGUAAGGUAACGGCUUACGAAGGCAACGAGGCAUAGCCGACCGGAGGGGCGGAUAGGCGACACUGGAACUGAGCCAGGGACCAGACUCCUACGGGAGGCAGCAGUCGGGUAUCUUCCGCAAUGGGCGAAAGCAUGACGGAGUGACGCGGCGUGAGUGAUGAAGGUGUCCGGAUCGUAAAAAUCUGUUAUUAGGGAAGAACCGAUGUGUCAGUAACUGUGCACAUCUUGACGGUACCUAAUCAGAAAGCCACGGCUAACUACGUG